CCUACGGGUGGCUGCAGUGAGGAAUAUUGGUCAAUGGGCGAGAGCCUGAACCAGCCAAGUCGCGUGAAGGAAGAAGGUUCUAUGGAUUGUAAACUUCUUUUGCAGGGGAAUAAAUGACGGUACGUGUACUGUUUUGUAUGUACCUUGCGAAUAAGGAUCGGCUAACUCCGUGCCAGCAGCCGCGGUAAUACGGAGGAUCCGAGCGUUAUCCGGAUUAAUUGGGCGUAGGGGGAGCGUUAAUGCAGUGGUGAAAGUUUUCAGCUCAACUGAAAAAUUGCCGUUGAAACUGUCGAUCGUGAGUGCAAAUGAGGUAGGCGGAAUGGGUUGUGUAGCGGUGAAAUGCUUAGAUAUAACACAGAACUCCGAUUGCGAAGGCAGCUUACUGGGAUGCAACUGACACUGAUGCACGAAAGCGUGGGUAUCAAACAGGAUUAGAUACCCGUGUAGUC
This 449-nucleotide ribosomal RNA is filed under the name uncultured bacterium. RNAcentral's name for it is "partial 16S ribosomal RNA". It matches the Rfam family "Bacterial small subunit ribosomal RNA", at positions 338 to 795 of the family's 1533-position model. The record is from RNAcentral.